AAAAGCAAAUAAGGGCGUAUGGCGGAUGCCUAGGCUCACGGAGGCGAUGAAGGACGUGAUAAGCUGCGAUAAGCCGCGGUUAGGUGCAAAUGACCCUUGACCCGCGGAUUUCCGAAUGGGACAACCCGGCCGCCUUACGGCGGUCAUCAUGACAGAGUCAUGAGGCGAACGCGGGGAACUGAAACAUCUUAGUACCCGCAGGAAGAGAAAAUAAGUCAAUGAUUCCCCCAGUAGUGGCGAGCGACCGGGGAAGAGCCCAAACCGGGUGUGUCGAGGCACAUCCGGGGUUGUAGGACCGCGCUGUUGUACGAGCAUGAGCGAGCGUGACCGUCUGGAAAGUCGGGCCGUAGCGGGUGAGAGCCCCCUUCGCGAAGUUCAUGCCGGCAUAGCGGUAUCCUGAGUAACGCGGGACACGAGGAAUCCUGCGCGAAUCCGCCGGGACCAUCCGGCAAGGCUAAAUACUCCCGUGAGACCGAUAGUGAACCAGUACCGUGAGGGAAAGGUGAAAAGAACUCCGACGAGGAGAGUGAAAUAGCCCCUGAAACCAUACGCCUACAAGCGGUCGGAGCAUGCGUAGCAUGUGACGGCGUGCCUUUUGCAUAAUGAACCUACGAGUUGCCGUCACGGGCAAGGUUAAGCGCCUAAGGCGCCGAGCCGCAGUGAAAGCGAGCCUGAAUAGGGCGCAGAGUCCGUGGAGGCAGACGCGAAACCGAGUGAUCUACACUUGUCCAGGAUGAAGUCCCGGUAACACGGGAUGGAGGUCCGCACCGAUAAGCGUUGAAAAGCUUCCGGAUGAGGUGAGUGUAGGAGUGAAAGGCCAAUCAAACUCGGAGAUAGCUCGUACUCCCCGAAAUGCAUUUAGGUGCAGCGUUCCGCGAUAGCGUCAAGAGGUAGAGCGACCGAUAGGAUGCGAGGGCUUCACCGCCUAUCAAGUCCUGACGAACUCCGAAUGCUUGACGCCCGCAGCGGGGCAGCAAGGGGGCGGGUGCUAAGGUCCGUCCCCGAGAGGAGAAGAAUCCAGACCGCCGUCUAAGGUCCCGGAAUUCUGCCUGAGUUAGUCUAACGAAGUGAGGUCCCUGAGACAGCCAGGAUGUUGGCUUGGAAGCAGCCAUUCAUUCAAAGAGUGCGUAACAGCUCACUGGUCGAGGGUCCUUGCGUGGAUAAUAAUCGGGUAUAAGGCAGAUACCGAAGGCGCGGGAUAGUAAUAAUAAAAGUAUCGGUAGGGGAGCAUUCCAUGUGCGUCGAAUGUUCAUGGUGACGUGAGCUGGAGCGCAUGGAAAAGCAAAUGUAGGUAUAAGUAACGACAAGGAGGGCGAGAACCCCUCCCGCCGCAAGACCAAGGUUUCCCGGGCAAUGCCAGUCAUCCCGGGGUCAGUCGGGUCCUAAGUCUAAGCCGAACGGCGAGGGCGAUGGCAGAAACGGUUAAUAUUCCGUUACUGCCUGUGCGAGCGAUGUGGAGACGGAGAAGUGGAACCGCCGCGGGGUGACGGAAGUCCCCGUUGAAGGGCGUAGGUUAUGAGGAAUGCAGGCAAAUCCGCAUUCCGAGCCGACCCUGACAGUACUCCGGCGCCUCCGGGCAACGGAGAUAGUGCGGGUAAUCAUGCUCCCGAGAAAAUCCGCUAAGCAAUCGCACAGGCACCCGUACCGCAAACGGACACACGUAGUCGGGUAGAAUAUACUAAGGCGUUGAGAGACUCAUGGUUAAGGAACUAGGCAAACUGACCCCGUAACUUCGGGAUAAGGGGUCCUCACGUAGAGUGAGGCGCAGAGAAUAGGUCCAGGCAACUGUUUAACAAAAACACAGGGCUGUGCGAACUCGAAAGAUGAAGUAUACAGCCUGACACCUGCCCGGUGCCGGAAGGUUAAGAGGAGAUGUCAACCUUUGUGGCGAAGCAUUGAAUUGAAGCCCCGGUAAACGGCGGCCGUAACUAUAACGGUCCUAAGGUAGCGAAAUUCCUUGUCGGGUAAGUUC
RNAcentral lists this ribosomal RNA (1972 nucleotides) under human gut metagenome. Its description in RNAcentral is "bacterial LSU rRNA". It matches the Rfam family "Bacterial large subunit ribosomal RNA", at positions 1 to 1983 of the family's 2925-position model. The record is from RNAcentral.